GUUCCUGCUUUAGUACCGUACAUCUGCAUCAUCCAGAUGUGUGGCUAUGCUAACAGGACAGAGAAACGUCCUGUCAGAGUCUGAAGGGGUGGAUGGACAAACCCACCGCCUCUAUAUGUACUGACGGAACAUCGACAU
This is a small nucleolar RNA of Trichomycterus rosablanca, 138 nucleotides long. RefSeq annotates it as small nucleolar RNA SNORA29. The transcript has a single exon. NCBI's taxonomy places the organism in Eukaryota, Metazoa, Chordata, Actinopteri, Siluriformes, Trichomycteridae. The record is from RefSeq and is a predicted model, not a curated record.